GCCCCUACGGGGCGCAGCAGUGGGGGAUAUUGGACAAUGGGGGAAACCCUGAUCCAGCGAUGCCGCGUGCAGGAAGACGGCUCUAUGAGUUGUAAACUGCUUUUGUACGAGGGUAAACGCAGAUACGUGUAUCUGUCUGAAAGUAUCGUACGAAUAAGGAUCGGCUAACUCCGUGCCAGCAGCCGCGGUAAUACGGAGGAUUCAAGCGUUAUCCGGAUUUAUUGGGUUUAAAGGGUGCGUAGGCGGUUGGAUAAGUUAGAGGUGAAAUCCCGGGGCUCAACUCCGGAAUUGCCUCUGAUACUGUU
This 305-nucleotide ribosomal RNA is filed under the name uncultured bacterium. Its description in RNAcentral is "bacterial SSU rRNA". It matches the Rfam family "Bacterial small subunit ribosomal RNA", at positions 335 to 637 of the family's 1533-position model. The record is from RNAcentral.